RNAcentral lists this transfer RNA (74 nucleotides) under Rhodochaete parvula. Its description in RNAcentral is "tRNA-Met". It matches the Rfam family "tRNA". Rfam says of the family: Transfer RNA (tRNA) molecules are approximately 80 nucleotides in length. Their secondary structure includes four short double-helical elements and three loops (D, anti-codon, and T loops). Lineage: Eukaryota; Rhodophyta; Compsopogonophyceae; Rhodochaetales; Rhodochaetaceae. The record is from RNAcentral.
CGCGGAGUAGAGCAGUCUGGUAGCUCAUCGGGCUCAUAACCCGAGGGUCAAUGGUUCAAAUCCAUUCUCCGCUA